This 227-nucleotide long non-coding RNA is filed under the name Monodelphis domestica (gray short-tailed opossum). Its description in RNAcentral is "lncRNA (ENSMODG00000040789.1)". Lineage: Eukaryota; Metazoa; Chordata; Mammalia; Didelphimorphia; Didelphidae. The record is from RNAcentral.
GAUCCUGGCAGAAGAGGACACAGAAUCAGACGAAAUAAAUGAACUUGAUCUGACAAGUCCAAUCUGUCAAGGAAAAACUAACAACAGCUUUCCUGGAUGAGGGGGAGGACAAGAUAAUUCCGGAGCAGGACAUUAUUUGCCGCAGGGUCCUAGCUACCACCUUGUCAGACCACAUUCCAUACCAAGUCACAAGCAUGAUUAGCCUCCUCCUCUUUGAUUACAUGAUU